GCCCGCAUGGCUCAGUCAGUUAAGCAUCUGACUUCGGCUCGGGUCAUGAUCUUGUGGUUCGUGGGUUCGAGCCCCGCUCCGGGCU
RNAcentral lists this transfer RNA (85 nucleotides) under Felis catus (domestic cat). It matches the Rfam family "tRNA". Rfam says of the family: Transfer RNA (tRNA) molecules are approximately 80 nucleotides in length. Their secondary structure includes four short double-helical elements and three loops (D, anti-codon, and T loops). The record is from Rfam by way of RNAcentral. Lineage: Eukaryota; Metazoa; Chordata; Mammalia; Carnivora; Felidae.